UACGUAGGGUGCGAGCGUUGUCCGGAAUUAUUGGGCGUAAAGAGCUCGUAGGCGGUCUGUCGCGUCGGUCGUGAAAACUUGGGGCUUAACCCUGAGCUUGCGGUCGAUACGGGCAUGACUGGAGUUCGGCAGGGGAGACCGGAAUUCCUGGUGUAGCGGUGAAAUGCGCAGAUAUCAGGAGGAACACCGGUGGCGAAGGCGGGUCUCUGGGCCGAUACUGACGCUGAGGAGCGAAAGCGUGGGGAGCGAACAGG
RNAcentral lists this ribosomal RNA (254 nucleotides) under uncultured bacterium. RNAcentral describes it as "partial 16S ribosomal RNA". It matches the Rfam family "Bacterial small subunit ribosomal RNA", at positions 524 to 776 of the family's 1533-position model. The record is from RNAcentral.